Long non-coding RNA from Heterocephalus glaber (naked mole-rat), 13972 nucleotides. The record is from Ensembl. Lineage: Eukaryota; Metazoa; Chordata; Mammalia; Rodentia; Bathyergidae.
UGGAAAUUAAGGCAACUGAAGAAUGUUUUGGAUCAGAGGUUUCCCCACUAAUCAGUCUCCUCUGAUGAGCAUGCGCAUUUUAGCUAUACUACUUGGCAUGAUUUUACUAUUGUGAAGGGUUUUGGAGAAUAAUCUCAAGGCAAUUUAUUUCUUUCCAUUGGGCUAAUCCCUUCUUCAGAGCCCAGCUCAUUUUCAACGCUGCUGCGUUGCGUUGCUGUCUUCCCCCUCCCCUUCAGUGCGACAGCCUCAGAGCUGCUGAAAAGACAGAAAGUAUGCAACUGGAUAAAUUCGGAAAUGUGGAAUUCAUGGAUCAAAUGGUACUUGCAGAGUUAAAGCUGUCUGGAUUCAGUUCCUGGAAUUUUCUAGAAUGGUAUAACAGGAAAAUAUUUUAAGGGAGACUUGCCUGGAAAAAGACUUGUGCCAGCAGUGUACAACUCACUCUUUUAUGCCCACACGGAUCACCUCCAGGCCCAGACUUGCACACAAACUUGCCCUAAACCACACAAGCACACCUCAAGGCAUAGUCAUAACCACCACAGCAAGAGACUUGCCCCUCAGCACAGGGUCACUUCCCACAUCACUAGAUUCUCCCAAUGAUGCUCACAGGUUCACCUUAACACGGAGACCCAUCUGAGGGACACCGAACAGGGGCCACAGGACAGAAACUUGCCCUGCAGAGACAAUCCCAACCUCACAGACUGUCUUCAUAUCAAUCAGACUCCUCCUAGGAUGCACAGACACACAAACUUAUGACAGGGAACAGGGAUUCUCUCACAGCCUGCAGAUAGUCCCCGUAGCACAGAACACAGACUGGACUGUCCACAGCAUGGACUCUCACUCUAGCACAUGCGUCUCUCCACAAUGCAGACUUUCCCUUCAGAGCACAGACCCAUGACAUAGCUCGAAGACCCAUGCCUCGACCCUAAGACUCCUGCGACAGACCGACUCACCCCAGGGCACAGGACACUGACUGUCCCAGCAGGACACUGACUCACUCGGGCUACACAGCCAGAUUUACCCCACGAAACAGGACUGAACCCACAGUCCAGACAGUUCCCAUAGCACUCAGUCAAAUUUAUCCACCACACAGAGUUCCAGCUUUGUGGUGUGCAGCAGAUACAUAACACGGCAAUGCACAGGCUUGGAUCACAACACACCAGUUGCCCUUCAGUGGACCAGUGCAUUUCAUAACAAACACAGUGAGCACACUGUGGAAACACUUUACGGCCAUUCUCGUCCUACAACAUCUGGCCUCCCCUCAGGCUCACCCUCACCACACACCCCAUGGCCCGCUGUCACCAGAACACACCCCGGAUUCCGCAGACACACGGUCAUACAUGGGCAUACGUCACAGUGCACACGUGACGCUGCAGCACACAGGCGGGCACUACAAUGGACAAACUUGUUCCACAACACACAUGGGUGCUGCAGGAGCACCUCACAAUGCACUUUUCCCUCAGUCACCCCACACCAUCUAUGCAGCCCCCAACAUGGAAACAUCCUGCAGCGCGACACUCCAGCCCCACGGUGCUCACAGUGAUGGUGUGGCACGGACUUGCCAUCCAGCAUCAUUUCCUCAAACCCACACUGCUUACAGUGAGUGGCUACACAGUGUGGACACGUGCUCUAAAACACCUAAAACCAGUUGUCAAGUGUUGCUUUGGAUUUACCAGAAGCACCGAGACUGGUUACACUGCUCACACUGCUGCUCAUAGUGUAAGCUGUGUGCAGAACUGCACCAAAAUGCAGCUUCUCCCAUCAAUACACUGACUCUUCUCACAACUCACAUAUACACUGCUGCACACUAAGACUCACCACCCUAUGUGCUCAGGACACGGACUUACCCCACAACACUUGGACUUGCCUUAAAGUCACACCCACAAUAUUAGACAUGCCUUAAAAUUCACAGCAUGCCUGUAAAUAGAGAUUUAUUCCACAAUGAACAGGAUUGCAUCACAACACACACCUUAGUCUGGAGCACAAAACCUACAGUGUACAUGAACAUUUCCCACUGCGUAGACUCACAGCACACAUAUUACCCUCCUUCGCAAAGAUUUCUAUUUGAGUGGACAGUCAUGCUUUACGAUACUGUUGAGCUACAACUCUGGCAUUCAACAGAGAUACAGCUUUUGCAAUGGUUAAGAGCAAGGCCUCUGGACCCAGAACACCUGGGUUUGAAUCCAGAUCCCAUCCCUUGCUAAAUGUAUCACCAUGGAUUUGCCUCAGAAGUCAGCCUUGCUCCAGAGAACUACAGAAAUGCCUCGCAAUGCCUUCAGUGAACCUACAAUAAAAAGACUCAACUCCACCAUGCCCAGACUCACCUCCUCACACCAACAGAUGACCUAUAACCCAGAGAAUCUGAAAAGAGGACCCACAUGCUCACACAAACUUGGAGGAUCUGGAAGAUGUGGAAAGAACACGGACUAGAAGGGGAGGAAGAGCGCUUCGCGCCCGCUGCACAUUGCCAUCUAGUGACCAUACUGAAUGGUGGUGUUGGUAGUCCUGACCUCAGCCUGGUAGCCUGACCUUGAACCCAGAGUUCCAGGUUCCCUUCACAACUUCAAGUGAUUGUUGGGCAGCAUUUGAGUGUACACAUUCUGCACCCUUGAGGAAUUUGGAACUACGCGCAAGUUCAAGCCCUGUUUAUUUAUCUUGUGAAUUUAUCACUUGCUUAUUCAGUAUUACAUGUUAAUAUUGUAAACUGCACGCUGAUGUGAAACUUGCAUUGUAAAUUUGCAUAAAUUGGGUAAGAAUUGCCUUAAAGCAAAAGAAAAAGAAAGUAGAUGCUAGAGAAAAAAGACGAGUGAAGAGGGUGAGAAAGGUAAUGUUGAUAGCAAAUAAAAUGAGAAGUUUGAAAUGCAUGGUAAUAGUGAAAAAAACCCAAGACCUCUAAAGGACAUUUUUUGGCAUUAAUGAAUGCCCAAUGUGUACAAAAAAGAAAAAUGAGAAGUCAGUUAGGGCCGGUGCACUGAGUGAUACAUCAGAAUUUCUAGGAAAAUUAUACAUAAUUUGAAAUGCUAAAGUAGAGACAAUGGAAAUAGAUUUACAUUUGUGGAAACUUUCCCUAUGUAUUAUCCACCAGUGAGCGUCACAAAAAUGCGAGUUCAACUUUCUAUCUGGAAGAAAACUUAUAACACGCAUGGCUGGCAGAGAAAGCGGAUCAUGAAGCUGCUGUAGAAUGUCCUGAGUAAUAGAGGAGCCCUGUUGAAGAAAUGGUUUUCCUAAACAUGUUUUCAAUGCUCAGGAAAUGUUCUGUCCUGGAAGUGCACACCAACUUGCACAUCCAUUGUGAAGGGGGAGAAGGAUCUAUCUUCCAUGCCAUCCAAACCUGUAGUUCAAACAACGCUGCACACAUAGUUGAACCUUGGGAUUCAGACUCACGUGGCUCUAACAAUGUGCUGAUCCAUGUGCUGGGGGAUGAAAGUGAAGCAGAAGACUGAUCUUACUUCUCUGCAAACAAAACCUGAUCUUCUCUCUUCUCUCCCUAUCACUGCCAUCAUAACUACCAUUUUCAUUUGUACAUUAUCAUCCUAACCUUUAGAUCAGGGAGAAAUAGAAGUCUGUUGCCCGCUAAUCAUUAUGGCUAAUGUAAAAUUUGUAAGACAUCAUUGAGAUUCACGUUAGCGCUUUAUUUCAGUGAACAGGAGGCCAAUUCUGUGGGCUUUUACAAUACUUCCUUUUCUGCCCCAUGUUUUCCUUAAAAGGUUUUAAAGUCCUCCAACAUACAUGCUACGAAUGUUUCGGGAACUCAACCCUAGAAUCCAAAGAAAGGGCUACUAUACUGUAUUUGACAGUUUGCUUUUUAACUUUUGACCCUGAAGUUUAUUUUAAUUCUGAUUAAGCUUGACUAUCUUACUAGAAGGGACUAGUUUAGGGUAAGUGAACUUGUUUUACAGCAAUCAUGUAAGUUAGCUUUUGAAGACUCCUUUUGAAAGGUAGUGCAUUUAUGAUGAAUUUCUUAAUUUACAUUGGUACAGAGUCAAUAAGGAAGAGCUGCUAGAGCUCUUUGCCAUAGUUCCCCUCUGUUCUCAUUUCUGGCCCUGUGUCUGCUGAUAGACCUGCUGAUAUAUCUAAUCACUGCCGAUACUUUCUGUUCCCUGAAUUUGGUGGAGAAUUCAUUUCCAGACUGAGUUAUUUUAUCCCCUCAUUGAUCCCAUGUAUUUAUUUUAUGGACUCAAUUGUUUUACAAGUAUUAUUAUUUUAGUUUUAGAUGUAUGUAGUUUUCUAGGCAGACUUCACAGAGGGGAAAAUCACAAAGCCAGAAUUAUUCAGCAGAUACCUUAUUCUAAGAAUUCUUGGCAAACAUAAAUGAUGAACUCUCCAGUUCCUUUGACCGCUUACAUACAUUCUUACCUGAUGCUCAUUGCGAAUUCACAUGGGUAGUUAGUUAUUCCGGGGAAUAGAGAGACAGGAAGUCUGAUUAACAUUGUUGUUUCUUUUGUCUUAACUGCUACUUGGGCCAGGAUUAUAGCACUGACACCAUAAUUAUAUCUCAUAAUGAUGCGCAAGAAAACUAAGAGGAAGAAAGACAACUCUUUGGCAUGAGGUUGCCAGAAAGAGACAUUACUUAGCUUGAAAAAAUAUAAUGACAACUGAGAAUGAUGAAAUUUAUGUACAGUAAUGAAAUAAUGCUGCCUUCAAGCAAUUAUGUCAAAAAUGACACUGGAAAGUAAAUUGAAUUUGGUCUUAUAGGAUGCAUGGAAGAAAACCACUUGAGUUGAGAUUAGAAAUGAGUGAAUCCAGUAAUUUCUCCCUUAAUCUGGAGAUCUGAAUGACAGGUUGCCUAUAUCUGAAAGAGAAAUGAUCAGGAAAAAAGAAAAAAAAUGUAAAAGGCAAACAGGGCUUGCUUUGAAUAGUUAGAUUGAGACGACAGAUAACCCUCAACAGGCUCAACAGAGGCACAUAAGAGUUGAAAACCCAUGCAGGCUUCCAGGGAUCUAGUGACACCAGUGUAGCAGGUGAGGAACUUAUACUUUUCCUCUAUGCCACAGUUUUUCUCAACCCUGGCUGCAUAUCAGUCAUGAUGGGUAGCUUUGAAAAAUACAGGCUUCUGGGUCCUGCCCCCACACUGGCUGGACUACUGGUGGGCCAGCAUCUAUAUAUUUUGAAAGUUUCUCAAGCAAUUCUUUAUACAAACAGGUUUAAACCACUGCUGUAAGGCUAAAUAGAAUUAAGAUAGAAAAUGUUCGACAAAUGGCAGUAGGCCCACAAACUAGGAAACCUUGAGUGAGCUGUUCUACCACUAGUUCAAGGGAUAGUUUCAUUUAAGUCACUUCUCUCUUUCCUCAUUUGUCAAAUGAGAAAAUAGGAUCACUAGUCUCCAAGGUUCUUUCUUUGAUGCUGUUACCUUGAGAGAAAGGUGCAUCAACCUUAUUGGUUAACUUGGGGAGUACUAAAGCCUUUGAUAGGACGCAGAUAAAUAGUAAAUUAUUGCAUUGCAUUUUGUUAUUGUAAAAACGGUGCUUGUGAUUUAAGUUUUACCAUAUUUUAGUUCCUCCCAGGAAAAAGAGUUGGGCUUAGAGGUCACAAAAGAAAAGGCAAACAUAGCACCAGUUUCCUGAAAUGAAAUACAGAAAUUACUCCCAUGAAGUUUUUUUCCUGUCAUAAUGUUGUUUUUUUUCUCUCUGGGAUUGGAAAAAAUAAUGAAUAGAUGUUGUGUGUAAAACAUUUUAACAUUUUACGUGUAUUGUUUAUACAAAUCUAAUUGGAAAAGUCUGUGUGGGCAACAUUUUAAGAUUCCAUGGAUAAUCUGCUUAAUUAUGUCUAGAGGUAAAUACUUUUUAAGUUAACAAUCUUUAUUACAAUAUAAUCAGUGGUUCCGAAGGUCUCCAGAGAAUGAGCUUUCUGAAUAAUUGUAACAUUGAUUGGGAUUACUUCCUUGAAUGUUUUUUCUCUUAAUUUGAACAGAAUUAGGGAAAUCAGGGUGUUUUUGGAGGGGGGUACUGGGGGUCGAACUCAGGACCUUGCAGUUGGCAGGCAGGUGUGGCGCCAUUGAGCUAUAUUCUUGGCAGGAAAUAAAAUUUAAAUCAAAUUGCAUCAACCAGGAACUCUUAGUAUAAAAUAAUGAAGUAUGAAAUUUAUUAAAUUGGGUAUUAUAUGAUUGCAGCUUCUGUAGGAAUGCCUAUACUUUGGCAUGAUAGAUGGAAACAUUUGUCUAGGGCCUAAGUCAUUUAAAAUAAAAAUUUGGAAUAAAUCUAAUUCUUGCUAAAGACAACAUCGAGUUAAAAUAACCUAAGAAGUAUUACUAAUAAAGGUCAAUAAUGGAAUAUUUUAAUGUGGUUAAAUGUAACAAGUCAGUGGAACACAUGGGAGGAUGUGAAAGUUUGUUACAGGAUAAACGGUAGAAGUAGAAUUUAAUGACAACACUGCUGUAUAAAUAGGUAUUGUUCUUUAUGUUUAGAAUACCUCCCUCCCAGCUGGAAAGUGCUGAAAAGUUUUAGUAGGUUUCACACACGGUUUGAGUGACAACUACCUUUCUUUUGUCAAAUAAUGUUGGUAAGUCCUCGAGCUAAUAUUAAGAAACACAAGGAAAUUUUCUUAUAGACGUAUUUAACCACUGUGGAAAAAGAACAAAAAAGAAAAAGGGGAGGUGAGGAGAGGGCAAACCAGUCUGCUAAAAUGUGGAAGAUAUGCUAGAACACUAACCUUACUUGUAAAAAGAUCCUUUUGGUUAAAAUAUUUUAAAGUUCAAAACACAGAGAAAGCUUUUCAAAUUGCACAUUUGGAUCACGUGGUUGCCACCACCUGAAUGUUAAUAAAGGGUUUUGACAGUGUGUGGAAUCUGAAAGUUUAUGUGAGUAAUAUUUGCAUUGUGAAAUAUAUUGACCAUUGAACUUUAUAUAGUAUUGUUACCUUUUAAUGGUGUUUGAUGUUAGUAUGUUAUGGUUGGUGAAGAGUUCAGAAAUAAAUGUCUGCUGUGAAUAACAGUGUACAGAUUUUGCCAAACCAUGAAAUCAAACAAAAUAAAGGAAGGAAUAAUACAUUUUAUUAGCAUGAAUAACAAAUAUUGAGAAAUUAAAUCUGAAUGUAGCAUAUUUGAGACACAUUGCUAAUUAGCCCAGCAUUGGAAACAUGGAGUUGAUGGCUUGGCUACUUGACAGUGGGAUGACAAAUGGCACAAUAAGAGUGACAUAAGACUUAGAGUGAGGUCUUUAACACACACUUCCUGUCUGCUCUGGGUUGAGGGCGUUCACUCUUUGGUGUUUACUGCUUAGUUCUGGCAGUACCAAGGGUUAUGAGAAUGUAAGGAAUUAGCAAGCAGCCUGAGCUAUGGAAUCAGAGAGUUCUACUUUCAAAUCUUGCCCCUGCCAAUUGCCAGCUGUGUGACUGUGGGCAUGUCUUUUCAGCAUUACAGACUUUAGUUUCUAAUCUGUAAAAUGGGGUCAAAAUACCUGCAUUACAGAGUUCCUAGAAAAUUAUAUGAGAUGCUUAGUACAGUGCCUGGCACAUAGUAAGUGCUCAAUAAAUUGCUGCUAUUAUUAUUAUUAAAACACAAAUAAACAUUGUAUAAAUAGAAGGUAAUAGUUUAUUCCUGUCUUGAUGAAAUGUUAAUAUUUAAUUUAUUAAAUUAUGCAUGAUGGUUUUUAGAGAGAAGGAAUAAGAAAUAAAUGUUACUAUUUUUCUUUGUUGUUGGUGAAGGAUACCUGAAACAAAAAUUUCUUUGUUGUUAAAUUACUCCUUGGCCUGAAGUGAUCAUUCAUAUUUUAUUUAUGAUGUGGUUAUAUAUCAUGUGCAUGAUAUUUAUAUGGUGAUUAGAGGCAAUGACUUUUAAUAUGAAUGCACUCUUACUAUCUAGAAAAUAAUCCAUCCACAAAUAUGAUUCCUCAUAAGUGGCAUCUGAAAUUCUUUAUAUUUCUCAUAUUUAUGAUGGCAUUUGAGUAUCUAAAAGUAGCGGUAUUUAGAGUUCUGAGUAUUCAUCGUGACUUCUAUGCUGUGUCUGCUGAGCAAGAGAGCGGUCACUGUCUUCAUUCAAGCCCUCACUACCACUUACCAGUAUCGCUUUAGUGACCUCACAUUCAAACUCUUUAAGUAUGUUAGCUUUUAGUAUUUGGUUUAUAUAUAUAUAUGAAUAUAUAUUAUAUAUGUAUAUAUAUGAUUAGUCUUUGUCAUUCAAGACUUUGCUGCUUGACUGACUUUUUCUGUGCACAAUUCUCAUUCAGAUACUCCCUUCUUCAAAAACCUUCAAUGACUGCCGAUCAUCUAUAUAUUCCACUGCUUGAUCUUUAAAUCAUGGCCCAAUCCCAGUGUACCUUACCAGUUUUGUUACCCGUGUCCUUUCUCAUGUACUGUAUUUGAUAGUUCUCUGACUUCCUUAGCCUUAUGUAAGUAAUAAGGGCCCUUUUAGCCUGUAGGUCAACUCUGAUCCCUUAAACUUGUCACUUACACUUUGAUAGGUAAGAUGAGAAAUUCUGUGUAUUACCUGAAGCCAAGAUGCUUCAGAUAUACCUAACUAGUUAUAAUCUCUUUCUUGUUCCCUUCCAAAUAUGCCCAAUCAGGGAGGGAGUCUUCUCUCAUUUCAUUCUUAAGCCUCCAGCCUAUUAAAUUAGGAUAUCUUUACAGACUCUUAUCCCUCUUAGUUGAGCCUCUGAGUGCAACCUAUUGAAUUUUGGGUCUGAAUAUAAAGUUUCUUGUAUGAGCACCUGAAAUAAUUGCCUGGAAAUCUAAAUUCCAUUCUUAAGAUUCUUGCCGGCCUCAUUUCCUCAUCAUCAUAUCACAUGAAAUGCUCUCUGUUCUCCUGCAUAUGAAUGCUACCCUGGAAUUUACUUAAGUUUACCAUACUCUAGAUUUGGCAGCUAGACCACAGCUUGUUGAAUGAAGUGCCACAGGCCAAAUCUAAUCCAAUUGUUAUUUUUUAAAUAAAGUUGUAUUGCAACACAUUUAUCUCCAAUCAUUUAUUAUUUGUGGCUGUAUGAAAAUAGCAGAGAUGAGUAGUUGCAACAGACACUAUAUAGCUUUCAAAGCCUUAAACAUUUACUAUGUUAUCCUUUACAGAAAAUAUUUGCUGAACCCUCAUAUAAAGCCAAAUAGUUUCCCCAACCUAUAUACUGUUUAUUUCUUGUCAACCCAUAAAUGCCCAGAAGGCUAGUUCAUUGAGACUACGAGGUUCUAAACCAAAUUACUUGUUUUUACUUGAACUUCCCUGCUUCCUCUUUCUAAUUUUCUUAAAAUGACCUUCCUGUGUUUUGCUUUUUUAGUAGAAGAGAUGCUAUAGUCAUAACAAUAGUCUCAUGUCUCUCAUGUCUGUCUUUUAAUGUAACAACUAGAUCUUUUUUUUUUUUUUUUGGUACCAGGGAUCGAACUCGGGUCCUUGCGCUUGUGGGGCAAGCAGCAGAACCACUGAGCUAAAUCCCCAGCCCUACAUCUAGAUCUCAAUAUACAAGCCUUUCAAUAUUACUAACAUCUCUACUCAUGGACAUUAAAUAUCUCUAAGAUUAGGUCUUUCCAUUCUUCAGUGUCUUCAACUCAGGUCUUCUGAGCUUCACCACUUUAAAACAUUUGUAAUCGCCAGAUCUUUCCCAUAUUAUAACAUCCACAUCUUCCAGGCUCUGGCCUGCAGCAUCCCCAAAGUCCAUGUUUCCUAAUCUUCUAGGUUUUCCAAUGUCUCCAUUAGUUUUCAAGGCCUAGGUUUUGUCUUUCAAGGUUCAGAGUUCCAACUUGCAAAUCUUCUACAGUUACAAUUCUUCAAUAUUUCUUAUACACGGGUCUUGUAAAGUCUAUGUAUUUCAUAGUAUCCAAGUCUAGUUUGUAAAGUAUCUUAUAGCACCCAUAUAAUUCAUUUCCCCUAUAUUUUAAUGUCUCCUGCAUCCUGGUUUUACAGUGCCUUUUUAAAAAUUAUCAGUUAAAGUAUUUCAAUAUCUCUAAAUACUUGUCCUUCCAACAUUCAUGUGUUCAAAUAUCGCCAGUGUCUGAAAUGCCUAAGUCUCUUAACAUCCAGCUAUUUUAAUAGCUAGAUCUCCUAAUAUCCAUAGGUGCCAAAUUCCUUGAUUCCCAGCAUCAUUAAAACGUACUUACUCUAAAUUCUGUUUUUUGACAGGAAUAUAUCAAUAUUCAAGUUUUCUAGUUGGUACCUCCUAAUAUUUAGGGCUUCUGAUUUUAUGAAUUGUAAAUGUCGGGAUCUUCUAUUUUCCAUACCCACCAGUUCUCAGGGGCCCCAAGGUACAGAACUUGCAAUGCCUCUAGUAUCCAGGGCUUCCAGUGUCUAUGGCUUCAUGUACUCAAUAUCCCAGUGUUCAGAGUAUCCAAAGUCUGCAAUGUUCAGAGUAACUAACCAAUGUCUCCAAAAUACAAGACUUGCAAUGUCUCCAACAUCCUGUGCUUCCAAUGUUUCCAAUGUCUAGGGUUUCCAGUGGCUUCAGUGUCAAGGUCUUCCAGCAACUCACAGUCUUCCAACAAUCUCAAGGUCUUCCAGACAAUCUCGGUCUUCCAGAAAAUCCAUGUCUUCCGGAAAAUUAAUGUCUUCCACAAUCCUGCAUGUCUUCCAGCAAAUCUCGUCUUCCGCAAGCAAAUCCAGAUCUUCCAGGAAAAUCCAGAUCUUCCAGAAAAAUCCAUGUCUUCCAACAAUUUCAACGUCUUCCUAUGAGUCUGUGUCUUCCAGGAAAAUCUGUGUCUUCCACCAAAUCCAAGUCUUCCAAUGAAUUCAGGUCUUCCAGAAAAAUCCAGGUCUUCCAGCAAACUAUGUCUUCCACCAAAUCAAGUCUUCCAGUCAACUCCUGUCUUCCAGACAAAAUCUGUGUCUUCCACUAAAUCCAGCUCUUCCAGUAAAGCCAUGUCUUCCAGAAAAUUCAUGUCUUCCAGUAAUCUCCAGUUCUUCCAGCCAAUGUAUGUCUUCCUGAAGAUUCAAGUCUUCCAGAAAAUCCACGUCUUCCAGAAAAUUCAUGUCUUCCAUAAAACAUCCAGUCUUCCAGCAAACCAAUAUCUUCCAAAAAAUCCAGGUCUUCCAGACAAUUCAGGUCUUCCAGAAAAUCCACGUCUUCCAGAAAAUCCACGUCUUCCAAAAAAGCUAUGUCUUCCAUCAAACCCAUAGCUUCAAAAAAAUCUAUGUCUUCCAGAAAAUCCAAGUCUUCCAACAAAUUCAUGUCUUCCAUCAGUUUUAUGUCUUUCAGCCUUCCUAUGUCUUCCAACAAAGCUACGUCUUCCAGAAAAUCCAUGUCUUCCAACAAAGUCACGUCUUCCAACAAAGCCGUGUCCUCCGGAAAACCUGUCUUCCAGUGAAGCCAUGUCUUCCAUCAACUCCAUGUCUUCCUACAUCUCCAGGGCUUCCAGCAUCUCCAGGGCUUCCAGCAUCUGCUCGUCUUCCACCAUCUCCACAUCUUCCAGCAUCUUCAGGUCUUCCUACAGCUACCCAGUCUUCCAUCAGCAGGUUUAAUAUCCACGUCUUCCAACAUCUCCGCUGCACCAGCCUUCUAAUAUCCAGGUCUUCCACUGUCUGCAAUAUCCAGGUAUUCUAACUUAUUCUAUAGUCCAGGUCUUAAACCCUUUCCCCAGAUCAAGGCUUUUCCAAAUCUAGUCCUCCUCUGUCCAAGCUUUCCCAUGUUCAAAACUUUCCACAGGGAGAUUGCCAACUCAGGUAUUCCUGCUUCUAGUAUAAUUAGCUUUAAAAAUUCAAUAGGAUAUUCCUACUUACAGGCCAGAUUUUAUGGGCAAGCUGUAAUUUAACUGUGGUUUUGAUAUUAGAAAAUGUGUGUUUAUUCUUUGCAACUUUUUAAAAUAGUGUUCAUAGGAAGUUUUACAGAAUAAACAGGUUACUGGAGUAAAUUUUAAAACUUUUUAAUGCUCAUAGAUUUUAGAAUCAACUAUGCUUAGGUGUAAGUGAAAUUUUAUUGUUAUGAGAAAAAUUCAUAUUUGGAGACUUAUUUUAGAUAAAAUUAACAUAUAGUGUAUCUGUCCACUUUUAAAUAACAUCAUUUUUACUUGAUUUUAUGUGUAAUAAUAACAAUAAUAAUAAUAAUAAUAAUAAUAAAUAGCAAUUGCUGUGUCCGGGCACUGUUCUAAGGUCCUUACAUACAUGAACUCAUUCUGUCUUUGUAGUCUCCCAUUAAAGUAGGUAUUGUCAUUAUCCCCAUUUUGCAGAUGAGGAAAUUGACACACAGAGUUGAAGUAAUGUGUCCAAAAGACAUAACUAAUAAGUAACAGAGUUGGAAUUUGAACCCCACUAGCCUGUUUCCAGAGUCCAUGAUCUUAAUCACUAUGUUAUGAUACAUGUUAUUGAAAAUCAAGAUGAAAAUUUUGAGAUCUGAAGCUUGAUUGGUCCCAAAUUGUGUUUCAAAUAUAAAAUCACAUACACAAAUGAUCUUGUUUAUCCUGUCACUACUGGAAACUAUUCAUAUUCAAAGCUUUCAUUCCUCGACCAGCUAUUGCAAUUCCUUUGCUCAUGUAUAUGAAAGUAGACGCUAUUGCUUCCUGAUACCACAUUUAGCUUGGACAAGAACACUGAGUUCAUACACCCUUUGCUUUAGAAUCAUAUUCACAGCUCUUUGCUUUGAGUACUGGUGCUUGGAAUUUAACUUUUCCAUCCAUUCUAAUCUUUUAUCACUGACUAUUCUCCAAUUUGAAACUUAUUGUCCAAACCAUUUAUCAUUAGUUUGCUUUUGACCUCCAGGAUCCAACUGCUUCUUCACGUAUCAGUGACUUCCUUGGGUUACUCACCACUGCUUUGUGUUCACCUAAUGGUAGCUACAUCUCCUUAAAUUCCAGCAUGUUGAUCUAGAGAACUAACUAAUUGCUUGGUUCUUUAAGUCUCAGCUCUCACCAGGCACUUCCAGCAAUGUACCCGUGCUUCUGCCUGGUAUGAACAACAUUAAAUCCACACAAUGAAGUUAUCCUUAGGCAAGGAAUCUCUAAAAGUCUGGAGUCAUCUAAGAGGUAAUAAAAAGGAACAAGAACAAUAAUAAUUAGAAUAACAAUUCCUUCUGAAUUGCAGCUUACAAAGUGCCAUCACUUCAUUUAUCCAUCCUUCCGUUCAACAAAUAUUUCUUGAGUGCCAACUGUGUGACAGGCAUGUUUUAGAGGAGCUUAAAAUCAGCUGGAGAGCAUACAUACCAUAUGCAAAUAAUUGAACAAUUAUUCAUUAAUUGUGGUAAGGACAUUAAGGAAAAGUAAAUAAAGAAUCUAUGAGAAUUUAGAAAGUCAAGGAAAGCAUUCUUGAGGAAGAAUGGUGACUCUGAAGGAUGUAGUUUCUCAUUUGUUUAUUAAAACAGGCUUGUGACUUAGAUACUACAGAUUUUUUUCUGUGAGUUUUACCGAAUUAGAAUAAUGACAAUGAGUAUGAGAUCCAGGUGUUUGGACUUUUUUUUCUAAUUCUAUCUAAAUCAAAGAAUAUAAAAAUGUUUAUACUCUUUAACUUAGUAUUUUCACUUCAAGGAACCUAUCCAAGGAAACUAUUUAAAAUGUGGAUAAUUUAUGCACAAAGAUGUUCCUCACAUACUUAUUUGGUGUAGCAAAUAAUAGAAAAACCCAAGUCUAGCUUUAAGCAAAUGAUUAAGUAAAUGUGCUAUUCAUGUAUGAUGUAAUAUUAUUCCAUUAAAAUAUUUAUGGUAUGCUCCUUAUACAAUGUUCAGUGAAAAAUCCACAUACAAGAUGAUAUAAAAUAUGGUUUCAACUAUUUUAAAAUACAUAACCAGGGACUAGAAGUAAACAGACUGGAGAUUGUGAACCUAUGACUGGCUGAGCAAGAUUAUGUGUGAUUUUGUUUUCUUCUUUAUAUUCUUAGUAUUUUUACCCAAUGUUCUUACAAUGUAAAGGUAUUUUCUAGUCAGACAAAAUCUAUCAAUACUUGUGCACCAAUUAAUCAUUUAUCUUUAUAUUGUACAUGCAAUCAAUUUUUAUUAUUGAAAUCCCUUCAAAAUAUAAACAGUGAAAAAAAUUAAAUUUUCAAAUAAUCUCAAUGCCCAGAAAUAAUCAUUGUAAAGACUUUGGCACUUGUUUAAGACUUUUGCAUAGGUAUGUUUAUUUUCUUUUACAAAAUGGAAGCCUU